Molecule: ribosomal RNA, 305 nt
Filed under: uncultured bacterium
Lineage: Bacteria
Description: bacterial SSU rRNA
Rfam family: Bacterial small subunit ribosomal RNA
Source: RNAcentral
UUCCUACGGGGGGCAGCAGUGAGGAAUAUUGGUCAAUGGACGCAAGUCUGAACCAGCCAAGUAGCGUGCAGGAUGACGGCCCUCCGGGUUGUAAACUGCUUUUAGUUGGGAAUAAAAGGGGGCUCGUGAGCCCCGUAUUGUAUGUACCAUCAGAAAAAGGACCGGCUAAUUCCGUGCCAGCAGCCGCGGUAAUACGGAGGAUGCGAGCGUUAUCCGGAUUUAUUGGGUUUAAAGGGUGCGUAGGCGGUCCGUUAAGUCAGCGGUAAAAUUGCGGGGCUCAACCCCGUCGAGCCGUUGAAACUGGC